ACUAAUGCUGGCAAGUUGCAGGACCUUUUCAAAACAGCAUAGCCACGUGUACUGUCAUAGCUUUAUGGCUUUCUGUCUAAACAGCUGUAUUUCCACACAGCUAAGCAUGUUUUCAAAAACAGCCCCAUUCAUUUCAAAGUAAAUCAAAACAAACAAAGUAUCAUUUCAAUACAAAACAGCAUUAUCGCAAAACAAAAGCAAACCUGUUCAAAUCUUCAAUAAAUCCCAAAAGAAGAAGAAGAAAGCGGUGCACAGUUGACGGCGGUUAGCGGUAGUUAUCGACGAAAAUGACGAAAGGCAGCAAUAAGGACAACAACAAGACAAAGCCAAAGCAGGCAGGUUUAAACUGAUUUGGUUUAAAUUUUAUUGUAAUAUAAUUAUUGUAAUUAUUUUUAUUUCUUUUUUUAAAUAUAUAUUUCCUUUUUGAUUUAUUUUUAAUAAAUUGGACAAAAAAUAGGGUACUACAUUUUUCUGUUUUUCUGUUAUGUUCAAGAACGUUCUCCGUUUUCAGCAAAAACAAAAAACGUUCUCCGUUUCGUUUCUUUUUCUGCAAUUGUUUGCCUUCUAUUUUGUUGAUUAAUUCUCGUUGCAGAUCCCAAUAUUAUUUUAACAAUAUAUUAUGUAUUCAUCAUUUAUAAUCAUUAACAUA
Molecule: long non-coding RNA, 649 nt
Organism: Cicer arietinum (chickpea)
Lineage: Eukaryota; Viridiplantae; Streptophyta; Magnoliopsida; Fabales; Fabaceae
Source: RefSeq, a predicted model, not a curated record